RNAcentral lists this ribosomal RNA (468 nucleotides) under uncultured bacterium. RNAcentral's name for it is "partial 16S ribosomal RNA". It matches the Rfam family "Bacterial small subunit ribosomal RNA", at positions 28 to 507 of the family's 1533-position model. The record is from RNAcentral.
GACGAACGCUGGCGGCGUGCUUAACACAUGCAAGUCGAACGGAAAGGCCCUGCUUUUGUGGGGUGCUCGAGUGGCGAACGGGUGAGUAACACGUGAGUAGCCUGCCCUUGACUUUGGGAUAACUUCAGGAAACUGGGGCUAAUACCGGAUAGGAGCUCCUGCUGCAUGGUGGGGGUUGGAAAGUUUCGGCGGUUGGGGAUGGACUCGCGGCUUAUCAGCUUGUUGGUGGGGUAGUGGCUUACCAAGGCUUUGACGGGUAGCCGGCCUGAGAGGGUGACCGGCCACAUUGGGACUAAGGUACGGCCCAGACGCCUACGGGAGGCAGCAGUGGGGAAUAUGACGCAGUGGGCGGAAGCCUGAUGCAGCAGCGCCGCGUGCGUAAUGACGGCCUUCGGGUUGUAAACCGCUUUCGCCUGAGACGAAGAGUGAGUGACGGUAAUGGGUAAAGAAGCACCGGCUAACUACGUG